Long non-coding RNA from Raphanus sativus (radish), 1013 nucleotides. RefSeq lists it as uncharacterized. The record is from RefSeq and is a predicted model, not a curated record. The transcript has 3 exons. Lineage: Eukaryota; Viridiplantae; Streptophyta; Magnoliopsida; Brassicales; Brassicaceae.
ACAAUGGUUAAAAAUCAAUCCUUUUUCUUUUCUCUUCUUCUGUACUCUAUCGAUAUUUUUUUUUCACAAGUCUGACUUCUCAGUUUCACAAUUCUCAUCUCUCACUAUCUCUUUCUCACACACACACGAUUCAUCAUCUCACACAUGCUUUCUCUGUAUCACUCUUCACACACACGAUCUGUCUACACUCACCGGUGCUUGUGAGCAGAGAUACCCAUGACGAAUCGUCGCAUUGACCGGUUUUGAUUCCGGUUAAAUUCUUUUUGAGAUUUUGUAACAGAGAAACAGAUCAUGUCUUUCCAGAUUCAGAGAUGGGGAGUGAUUAACAGAGAUAGAGAAGACAGAACGCAGGAGAUAGAUGAAAAGGGUGAAAAAUAUGGUGGUCGCGAGCAGAGUGGUGAUUGAGUGCGGUGGAGGACUAUGAAGAAGCCUUGACGGCGGUGUUAAGAAAAGGAGGUUUAGGUUUAGGUUUAGUUUAGGUUUAGGUUUAGGUUUAAGUUUGGUUUAGUUUUGGUUUAAUAUUUUUUUGUAAAGCAAUUUAGUUAUAAAUCAUUUUAUUUAAUAAAAAAAUUAAAUAUAUAAACGAGUUUAAAUUUUAGUUAUGUUUUUAACUUUUUAUUUUUUUUUAUUUUUUUUUAUUUUUAUUUUUUAUAAAAUAAAAAAUAACAAAAUUAUACGCUAUUAAAGAAUAUUUAAUUGCAGAUGGAAAAGCGCUAUCGUAGCGGAAGAAAAGAUAACAGUGCCAAAAACCGCUAUCUAAUGUCUCUAACCUAUUAUGACGGACGAUGAUACAGCGUUUCUAAAACCGACAUCAUAUCGUUAGAUAGCGUUUUUCGUCCGCUAAUAAAACCCAUUUUUCUUGUAGUGGGAAGACUAAAGAUUGGAGAGAUCAACGAAACAAAGGGAAAUUUGCAGUUGAGAUCAUCUAUCUGUAAGCAUUAAAACUGUAACAAGUUAUCAAAGGAUCUUUUUUUCUUAUUAUAAACUCAUACUUACUUUUAUCCCUUUUCUUU